Scophthalmus maximus (turbot) is the source of this 1890-nucleotide long non-coding RNA. RefSeq lists it as uncharacterized. The transcript has 2 exons. NCBI's taxonomy places the organism in Eukaryota, Metazoa, Chordata, Actinopteri, Pleuronectiformes, Scophthalmidae. The record is from RefSeq and is a predicted model, not a curated record.
CGCCGGGUAACGAGAAGGAGGCGCAGGGCGAAGAGCGGCCGCAUUUUAUUGGUCCGUCGGAGGGGAGACACUGACCCCGCCCCCCCCGCCGGCCGGUGCUGUGCGCGGGGUCCGAGGGCUCGAAGGAACUGGGGCAGAGAGAUCGGUUGUGUUUCACUGUGCAAAAAUUGCAGCCGACACAUUGGAAGUCAGGAGAGCAGCCACAGAAAGGUCACUCUGGGAGAAAUGAUUCGGUCUGAAGAGCUGAAACAAAAGCGGAUCUCGUUGCGCAAGAGUUGGACGGCAAACAGAAGAGGGGACGACGGAAGGAACUAAACUUCAGAUUCAGCAGCCUGGUUUUCUGUUCCCCUUAUUUUGCAGGAUAAUGUCCACCACAAACACGGCAUCAUAAGUCGUGUUUAAAUGAGCUACAAGUGGUUCCCCUUUGGAUGACCCCUUCUUCACGCACUGACACUAGGUCAGAGGUCGCUCACAAAAGUCAGUAGCAUGGGAUGGAUAGGAAACAAUGUCUGAACAAGAUUUCAUUUCUACUCAUGCAACAGUUGAGAAAUGUCCGUCUGGACCAAAGUUGAGGACCGACUGACAGAGUAUCAUUGGAGCCCUGCUGCCCGCACAGCCAGAUGAUAAACACGUGGAAAUGAAUGAUAAAGUUUUACAGUGUAAAAGGAAACUAAUUCCUCCUCUGUUGGAUUAAUGUCAUUUGACAUCAAACCAUGAGGAAACUGUCCUUUCGACUGCUGUCGCGUCCCUUUCCCACAACGUACAGUAAGUUCAAAUAAUGGCACAACACUGUCAAGUGAAUAAAAGCUGCGCAAAGUUAGCAUUUAAUCUUUCAUAUUACAACUGCUUCCAGUUCAUUAUUCAUGUGUACAUCACCAGACUGAAAUAACCAUAUAUCAAAUAAAAAUGCGUACGGUGUAGUUAUAGUAAAUGGCUGUAGCAACACACACACAAAAAAGCUGCAUACUUGAAAUAUACAAUUUACAAAAUGUACAAAGAAACUGAAUUGAGACAGAUUAUUAUCCAUAGUCAUUGCAAUAUACAUUAAAUCACAGCUGAUUGUAUGAAUGUGCUCGAUAAGAACAAUGCACAGCUACUUGCCACAAUGAAAACAAGUAGAUUCACUCACAAAUUAAUAGUUUAAGAUUGUUUUUGGACAUGACAGUAGGAUUUAAAAAUGAACUUUACCAACCUUUGAAUUUGGCACAGAUUUCCAGUAAUAUUUCACACAAAAAUAUACACAUGCUCACAAUAUAAACCCAAACUCACAGACAGAUGAUGACAGACAGUCAGACCUCAUCGGUUCAUCGCUGAACCAUAAGACGCCUACUGUGCAGCGCUACAUGCACGUUAGAAAAACACAUUCAACAUAUUUAUUCUCUUUAAUUGUUAUCUUGCCAUGUCAACACACCUUAAAUUCCCUUAGAUGAAUGUCCUGAAGUCUGGUUCCUUCUCUUUCCAGGACAUAUACAGUAAUUCUUUAUAUUGUUAAUUUCUUCUGAGAUACUGUACAGUGAUUGUCUCUGACAGGAGCCUUGAAGGAAGAUCGUACAGUAUAAUGGAGAAGUGUUUUUAUAUAUUUGUUCCUUAAUGUGGUUUUUGUUCAUUGAAUUUUAGUCACGGUAAAAUAUCUGUUUUAGCCCCUCUGCAAAUGUUCCUCAAAUUUAUAAAAAUGUGUCAUUUUGGGAAAUGUGCUCAUUCGCUUUAUGUGGGAGAAUUAAAGGAGAACAUUGAUUAUCCCAAUUUGGUCAGAUAAGGCUACAGCUAGCAGCGAUGUAGCGUAGCAAUAAAGAAAUAAAGGGGAACAGAUCUGGUAAAAAAUGUACACGUAAUGUCUCAUUUAUUCAUUCCUUGUACAAUUUGUGUUUAAAACAACAGACUGAAAGUACA